This 211-nucleotide non-coding RNA is filed under the name Clostridium sp. Lineage: Bacteria; Bacillati; Bacillota; Clostridia; Eubacteriales; Clostridiaceae. The record is from RNAcentral.
UAUUGAAGGAAUUAGUAUGGUGCUUUUAGUUUAUAAAUAUAAAUAGGCAAAAGUUAAAAGGGAAUGUGAUGAAAUUUCACAACAGCCCCCACUACUGUGAUAGAGGAUGAAAGCUAAAAUUAUAAAUUCCAUUGAGAGAUUUUCUUGAGAAGGAGUUUAGUGAGUAAAGAGAUUCUUAAGUCAGGAAACCUGCCAUAACUUUAAUAGUGUU